This is a long non-coding RNA of Canis lupus familiaris (dog), 1010 nucleotides long. RefSeq lists it as uncharacterized. Lineage: Eukaryota; Metazoa; Chordata; Mammalia; Carnivora; Canidae. The transcript is spliced from 3 exons. The record is from RefSeq and is a predicted model, not a curated record.
UUGAAUAACAAAGAGAGACAGGUCUGUGGAUGACCUAACACACCCUUAUUGUUUUGAAAUUCCUGGAUUGUAAAAACUGCGAAUGACAAAGUUUCAAGUGGAUCUCCGUUCACUCGUCCUUUGUAACAGAAAUCAAUCCCACAGUUGCAUAAAAGUCAGACAUGUCCUUAAUAGUGGCAGCCGCGCAGACUAUUUAUCUGGGGAAGGGUAUCCGUAUAACUGCAGUCACCCACGUGUGCUGGCGCCCGAGCUCUACUUUUUCCUGCCUUCUUCUCUAUCAGCUAUCGUUGACAUCCAUCAUCCAUCUAUGUGUUCUCUGAAAAGACAGGAUGCCAACAGCGAGCCCAAUAGGGAGCCCAGGCAAGCAUAAUGAAGAAAACAGGCAUCAGGGCUUGUCCUGUCUAGCCGGAGACCUACGAAAACCUGCUUUGCAAUUCUUCAGGACGCCAGCAAUGCCUCUAGAGGAGCCUCCACCACCUGCUGGCUGUGUGACCAAGCCAGACACUCAUCACUCUAUGCCUCAGUUUCCUCUUCUAUAAAACAGCGUUUGCAAACCACUUCCAACCUUGUGCAAAUGUGCUUCUCGCUUCUGUUUGAUCUGACUUCCGUAACGCUUAGAUCUCGUGGAUGAGGACUCUGGCUCCUAAUAUUUGUCUCACUCCUUUCUCCAAGUUUGCUAAAUGAUUAACAUCAAUGAGGGCUCCAGCUGCCACCAUCCACCCAGAGCCCUGCUUUGGUGGGCUAGCACUCCGAGCUUCGCAUGCAUUAUCUCAUUUAGUCCCGCAGCCACUUACGAGGUUGUGGGGGUUUCCCUCCAAUGGCAGCUCUGCUCCCGCUGGCUGUCAAAUUCUGGAAUUGGCCCUGGUGGUGAGAAAGGAAGGAGCUUCUUUACUAUUUCGAACAAACUGUCAGAACUGACACAAGCUGGGUUUUUAAACAUCAAGCCAUCCAGGAUGGGUAAGGUAUUGAGAAAUGUUCUAGAAUAUAUUCAAAGUCAAUGAGGGAACAAA